UUGAACGCUGGUGGCAUGCUUAACACAUGCAAGUCGAACGGUAGCAGACCUAGCUUGCUAGGUGCUGACGAGUGGCGGACGGGUGAGUAACGCGUAGGAAUCUGCCUUGCAGUGGGGGAUAACAUUAGGAAACUGAUGCUAAUACCGCAUACGCCCUUAGGGGGAAAGAUUUAUUGCUGCAAGAUGAGCCUGCGUCAGAUUAGCUAGUUGGUGGGGUAAAGGCCUACCAAGGCGAAGAUCUGUAGCUGUUCUGAGAGGAAGAUCAGCCACACUGGGACUGAGACACGGCCCAGACUCCUACGGGAGGCAGCAGUGGGGGAUAUUGGACAAUGGGGGCAACCCUGAUCCAGCAAUGCCACGUGUGUGAAGAAGGCCUGCGGGUUGUAAAGCACUUUCAGAAGGGAAGAAGGACGCGAAAGCGUAUUGACAUUACUUUCAGAAGAAGCACCGGCUAACUCUGU
This 461-nucleotide ribosomal RNA is filed under the name uncultured bacterium. Its description in RNAcentral is "partial 16S ribosomal RNA". It matches the Rfam family "Bacterial small subunit ribosomal RNA", at positions 30 to 506 of the family's 1533-position model. The record is from RNAcentral.